Molecule: ribosomal RNA, 491 nt
Filed under: uncultured bacterium
Lineage: Bacteria
Description: partial 16S ribosomal RNA
Rfam family: Bacterial small subunit ribosomal RNA
Source: RNAcentral
AGUGAACGCUGGCGGUAGGCCUAACACAUGCAAGUCGAACGGCAGCACAGUAAGAGCUUGCUCUUACGGGUGGCGAGUGGCGGACGGGUGAGGAAUACAUCGGAAUCUACUUUUUCGUGGGGGAUAACGUAGGGAAACUUACGCUAAUACCGCAUACGACCUACGGGUGAAAGCAGGGGAUCUUCGGACCUUGCGCGAUUGAAUGAGCCGAGGUCGGAUUAGCUAGUUGGCGGGGUAAAGGCCCACCAAGGCGACGAUCCGUAGCUGGUCUGAGAGGAUGAUCAGCAACACGGGAACUGAGACACGGUCCAGACUCCUACGGGAGGCAGCAGUGGGGAAUAUUGGACAAUGGGCGCAAGCCUGAUCCAGCCAUACCGCGUGGGUGAAGAAGGCCUGCGGGUUGUAAAGCCCUUUUGUUGGGAAAGAAAAGCAGCAGGUUAAUACCCCGCUGUUCUGACGGUACCCAAAGAAUAAGCACCGGCUAACUGCGG